This 270-nucleotide ribosomal RNA is filed under the name uncultured prokaryote. Its description in RNAcentral is "partial 16S ribosomal RNA". It matches the Rfam family "Bacterial small subunit ribosomal RNA", at positions 524 to 794 of the family's 1533-position model. The record is from RNAcentral.
UACGUAGGGGCGAGCGUUGUCCGGAAUAAUUGGGCGUAAAGGGCGCGUAGGCGACUCUGCAAGUCAGUAGUGGAAGUCCCAUUUUCAAGGUGGGGAGGGCUAUUGAAACUGCGGAGCUUGAGUGCAGGAGAGGUUAUCGGAAUUCCCGGUGUAGCGGUGAAAUGCGUAGAGAUCGGGAGGAACACCAGUGGCGAAGGCGGGUCUCUGGGCCACUACUGACGCUGAGAAGCGAAAGCAUGGGGAGCGAACAGGAUUAGAUACCCUGGUAGU